RNAcentral lists this unclassified non-coding RNA (384 nucleotides) under uncultured bacterium. RNAcentral describes it as "contains 16S-23S intergenic spacer region". The record is from RNAcentral.
UCCGGUUUGGCACCGGCAGUCCUCCCAGAGUCCUCGCCAUGACGCGUUAGCAACUGGGAGCGGGGGUUGCGCUCGUUGCGGGACUUAACCCAACAUCUCACGACACGAGCUGACGACAGCCAUGCAGCACCUGUCUUGGGACUCCGAAGAGGGGCCGUGGUUUCUCACGGCUUUCCCCAAGAUGUCAAGCCCAGGUAAGGUUCUUCGCGUUGCGUCGAAUUAAACAACACGCUCCACCGCUUGUGCGGGUCCCCGUCAAUUCCUUUAUGUUUUAGUCUUGCGACCGUACUCCACAGGCGGGAUGCUUAACGCGUUAGCUUCGCUACUACACGGAGACUAUAUAACUCCAGACACCAAGCAUCCAUCGUUUAAGGCCAGGACUAC